CCUACGGGGGGCAGCAGUGGGGAAUAUUGGACAAUGGGGGCAACCCUGAUCCAGCCAUGCCGCGUGUGUGAAGAAGGCCCUCGGGUUGUAAAGCACUUUCAGUGAGGAAGAACGCCUGGUGGUUAAUACCCAUCAGGAAAGACAUCACUCACAGAAGAAGCACCGGCUAACUCCGUGCCAGCAGCCGCGGUAAUACGGAGGGUGCGAGCGUUAAUCGGAAUUACUGGGCGUAAAGCGCGCGUAGGUGGCUUGAUAAGCCGGUUGUGAAAGCCCCGGGCUCAACCUGGGAACGGCGUCCGGAACUGUCAAGCUAGAGUGCAGGAGAGGAAGGUAGAAUUCCCGGUGUAGCGGUGAAAUGCGUAGAGAUCGGGAGGAAUACCAGUGGCGAAGGCGGCCUUCUGGACUGACACUGACACUGAGGUGCGAAAGCGUGGGUAGCAAACAGGAUUAGAUACCCGAGUAGUC
RNAcentral lists this ribosomal RNA (465 nucleotides) under Vreelandella stevensii. RNAcentral describes it as "partial 16S ribosomal RNA". It matches the Rfam family "Bacterial small subunit ribosomal RNA", at positions 338 to 795 of the family's 1533-position model. The record is from RNAcentral. Lineage: Bacteria; Pseudomonadati; Pseudomonadota; Gammaproteobacteria; Oceanospirillales; Halomonadaceae.